Molecule: transfer RNA, 73 nt
Filed under: Naso lopezi (elongate unicornfish)
Lineage: Eukaryota; Metazoa; Chordata; Actinopteri; Acanthuriformes; Acanthuridae
Description: tRNA-Trp
Rfam family: tRNA
About the family: Transfer RNA (tRNA) molecules are approximately 80 nucleotides in length. Their secondary structure includes four short double-helical elements and three loops (D, anti-codon, and T loops). Further hydrogen bonds mediate the characteristic L-shaped molecular structure. tRNAs have two regions of fundamental functional importance: the anti-codon, which is responsible for specific mRNA codon recognition, and the 3' end, to which the tRNAs corresponding amino acid is attached (by aminoacyl-tRNA synthetases). tRNAs cope with the degeneracy of the genetic code in two manners: having more than one tRNA (with a specific anti-codon) for a particular amino acid; and 'wobble' base-pairing, i.e. permitting non-standard base-pairing at the 3rd anti-codon position.
Source: RNAcentral
AGAGACUUAGGCUAACAAUUUAGACCAAGGGCCUUCAAAGCCCUCAGUAGGAGUGAAAAUCUCCUAGUCUCUG